CUGGGCCGCCUCUCCCACAGCACCUCCCCGAGGGCCAGGCUGGCUCAUUUGACGACACUGCCAGAAAGAGGCACAGGAGCCCAUCUGUGGACACGCGUGGUGAUUUUUCUUCAUCGUGUCAUCCUUGGAGAGAAUCUGAGAAGCGGAGCAUUCCUUCAUUCCCUCGCCCAGCAGAUUGGAGAUGUCGCCACUGACAGAUGUCACCCUGACAGCAGCACAAUCCAUGGGGGUAUCAGAGAGCAGCUCUCAGAGCACCUGGACUAUCUCAUGGGCCAACUCUGGAGAUCUCUAGCCAACAGAUUCACACCCAGCCCGCUGGCCAUCCCCAGCCUUCCACUCCCAGACUCCCUGGCUCCACAAGGAAUCCUUGGUCCUGGAGAGCUUCACCAGAACGUGGAGAUCCUGGCUCUAAUAUCCUACCCAAUAUUUCAGUCGAGCCUUGUGGAAAAUAGCAGGAAAAUUAGAGGGGUAUAAGGAUCAUAUUCUUGACCUUAAAAAUUCUCCAAUCUCUCAUAUAUUGCUGGUGGAAGUAUAAAAUUGGUACAACCUGUAAAACUUUUUGAGAAAUCUACUAAAGGUAAACAUAAGUCUACUUAGCAAUGCCACUUCUUGUAUAUAAAUAAUAGAAAUCAGUGCUUCUGCUCACCACAGGGCAGGCACGAAAAUGUUCAUUGUCGUUCUAUUCAUAAUAGAUCCAAGCGGGAAAUAACCCAAAUGUGCAUCAAUAGGAAAAUGGAUAAGUGAGCUGAUUAUGUAUAUAUACAAUUAAUAUAUAUAAUUUUAUAUAUUUGUUUUAUAUUAUUUAUAUUAUGUUACAUAUAUGACAUAUACAUAUGUGUGUGUAUAUAUAUAUAAAAAACAUUUGCUAUAUGGCAUUGCAUAUGCUGUACAGCAAUUAAAAAGAGUAAACUGCUACAUUUAGCAUCAAGCAUGAACCUCACAGACAUUCUGUUGAGCAAAAGAAGCCAGACACAAAAGAGUACUUACCACAUGAUUCCAUUUCUGUGAAGGUCAAGAACAGGCAAGGUAAAAUAUAGCAGCAACCUCUUCCCCGGGGGAAGAGUGUUUUCUGGGAGAGUGCAUGAGAAAGCUCCGGGGUGCUGGAAAUGCUAUGUUUAUCCAAGUUGAGGUUUUACAAGUGUAUAUGUAUAUUACAUAUGUAAAAAUUCAUCUGGCUGUACACUCAAGACUUGUAAACUUUAGUAUAUAAGUUACAUCCACCACCUACCCUCCUCAAAAAAAAAAAAAAAAAAAAAAAAAAACCCNCCCCCCCCCCCCCCCAAAAAAAAAAAAAAAAAAAAAAAAAAACCCUCCAAAAAGAAGGCAACCAAAAUACUAGAUGACAUUGUAUUGGUUGGUUUUGUUCUUUGUUUCUGACUAAUUUCACCGCUGAGAAAAAUCCUCUGGCUGGCACAAGUCUCACUUAAGUCCACCUCGUUAUAAAUGAAUAUUAAUUCACCUGGCCAGGUAGAGAGUAAGUCCGAGAUGGCUUCCUGUGAGCGUGUGUGCAUGUGUGUGCACGGAUGAGUGUGUGUGCGCGCACACGUGUGUGGGUUGUAUUAUAUUCAGUAGGAUGAUGAAUCCCCAGGGGGCAGGGAUCGUAUGUGUCACAUUCCCCUUCACACUGUACCACCCACAGAGAUUGAGUUCGACAAAAUUUAUUGUGUGCCUACUAUGUGCCAUCCUCUAUUCUGGGGCCUGCGGAGAUAGCAAUAAAAUAGACAAAAGUCUCA
This is a long non-coding RNA of Vulpes vulpes (red fox), 1733 nucleotides long. The record is from Ensembl. NCBI's taxonomy places the organism in Eukaryota, Metazoa, Chordata, Mammalia, Carnivora, Canidae.